CUACAUAACCAACACCGCCCUCUUCUUUGAGUAUGCUUCUCAGCAUAUUUCUAAUUUACUGUGAACUGUUUUACUGUUUAGCGUUUUGAGGGAUUGCCUAAAGAUUAUAGGGAUAGGUCUUUAGGAUGUUAACCUAGCUAAAGUCAGGCUUAGGCCUGGUAUCCUAAUUCAUUAUUUACCAAAAGAAUUCAGAAUUAAUUAUUGUAACAUAAGCGUAAAAAACUUAUAAAACAACUUUUAACAACGGAUCUCUUGGUUCUCGCAUCGAUGAAGAACGUAGCAAAGUGCGAUAACUAGUGUGAAUUGCAUAUUCAGUGAGAUCAUCGAGUCUUUGAACGCAUCUUGCGCUCAAUGGUAUUCCAAUUGAGCACGCCUGUUUCAGUAUCAACAACUAACCCACAUCCACAAUUUUGUUGUGAAUGGAAAUGAGAGUAAUCGACGUUAAAAUUGAACUCUUUAAAAUUAUUAGGCCUGAACUAUUGUUCUUUUAGCCUGAACAUUUUUUUUAAUAUAAAGGAAUGCUCUAGUUAUUAAGACUGUCUUGGGGGCCUCCCAAAUAAAUCAUUUUUUAAACUUGAUCUGAAAUCAGGUGGGAUUACCCGCUGAACUUAAGCAUAUCAAUAAGCGGAGGAACUUGGUCAUUUAGAGGAAGUAAGGGGAGGAGG
Molecule: ribosomal RNA, 665 nt
Filed under: uncultured Mucoraceae
Lineage: Eukaryota; Fungi; Mucoromycota; Mucoromycetes; Mucorales; Mucoraceae
Description: eukaryotic LSU rRNA
Rfam family: 5.8S ribosomal RNA (bases 233-387)
Source: RNAcentral